RNAcentral lists this ribosomal RNA (451 nucleotides) under uncultured bacterium. RNAcentral's name for it is "bacterial SSU rRNA". It matches the Rfam family "Bacterial small subunit ribosomal RNA", at positions 29 to 524 of the family's 1533-position model. The record is from RNAcentral.
AGCGAACGCUGGCGGCAGGCCUAACACAUGCAAGUCGAACGGAUCCUUCGGGAUUAGUGGCGGACGGGUGAGUAACACGUGGGAACGUGCCUUUUGGUUCGGAACAACUCAGGGAAACUUGAGCUAAUACCGAAUGUGCCCUUCGGGGGAAAGAUUUAUCGCCAUUAGAGCGGCCCGCGUCUGAUUAGCUUGUUGGUGAGGUAAAGGCUCACCAAGGCUACGAUCAGUAGCUGGUCUGAGAGGAUGAUCAGCCACAUUGGGACUGAGACACGGCCCAAACUCCUACGGGAGGCAGCAGUGGGGAAUCUUGCGCAAUGGGCGAAAGCCUGACGCAGCCAUGCCGCGUGAAUGAUGAAGGUCUUAGGAUUGUAAAAUUCUUUCACCGGGGACGAUAAUGACGGUACCCGGAGAAGAAGCCCCGGCUAAACUUCGUGCCAGCAGCCGCGGUAAU